This 253-nucleotide ribosomal RNA is filed under the name uncultured bacterium. RNAcentral describes it as "partial 16S ribosomal RNA". It matches the Rfam family "Bacterial small subunit ribosomal RNA", at positions 524 to 776 of the family's 1533-position model. The record is from RNAcentral.
UACGGAGGGGGCUAGCGUUAUUCGGAAUUAUUGGGCGUAAAGAGCGUGUAGGCGGCCAGGUAGGUCUGCUGUGAAAACUCGAGGCUCAACCUCGAGACGUCGGCGGAAACCAUCUGGCUAGAGUCCGGAAGAGGAGAGUGGAAUUCCUGGUGUAGCGGUGAAAUGCGCAGAUAUCAGGAAGAACACCAGUGGCGAAGGCGCUCUGCUAGGCCGUAACUGACACUGAGGGACGAAAGCUAGGGGAGCGAAUGGG